GGUAGGACUGGUGACUGGGGUGAAGUCGUAACAAGGUAGCCGUACCGGAAGGUGUGGCUGGAUCACCUCCUUUUAG
Molecule: ribosomal RNA, 76 nt
Filed under: Cylindrospermopsis raciborskii S07
Lineage: Bacteria; Bacillati; Cyanobacteriota; Cyanophyceae; Nostocales; Aphanizomenonaceae
Also listed under: 1 other name
Description: partial 16S ribosomal RNA
Rfam family: Bacterial small subunit ribosomal RNA
Source: RNAcentral